CAGCAGCCGCGGUAAAACGUAGGUGGCAAGCGUUGUCCGGAAUUAUUGGGCGUAAAGGGCUCGCAGGCGGUUUCUUAAGUCUGAUGUGAAAGCCCCCGGCUCAACCGGGGAGGGUCACUGGAAACUGGGAAACUUGAGUGCAGAAGAGGAGAGUGGAAUUCCACGUGUAGCGGUGAAAUGCGUAGAGAUGUGGAGGAACACCAGUGGCGAAGGCGACUCUCUGGUCUGUAACUGACGCUGAGGAGCGAAAGCGUGGGGAGCGAACAGGAUUAGAUACCCCAGUAGUCCCUGUCUCUUAUAC
RNAcentral lists this ribosomal RNA (301 nucleotides) under uncultured bacterium. RNAcentral's name for it is "partial 16S ribosomal RNA". It matches the Rfam family "Bacterial small subunit ribosomal RNA", at positions 509 to 807 of the family's 1533-position model. The record is from RNAcentral.